CAAUAGCGUAUAUUUAAGUUGUUGCAGUUAAAAAGCUCGUAGUUGGAUUUCGGUUAAGAGCGACCGGUCCGCCGUUUGGUGUGCACUGGUUGGUUUUAACUUCCUGUAGAGGACGUGCUCUGGGUUUAACGACCUGGACUCGGAGUCUACGUGGUUACUUUGAAAAAAUUAGAGUGUUCAAAGCGGGCUUACGCUUGAAUAUUUCGGCAUGGAAUAACACUAUAGGACUCCUGUCCUAUUUCGUUGGUCUCGGGACGGGAGUAAUGAUUAAGAGGAACAGUUGGGGGCAUACGUAUUUCAUUGUCAGAGGUGAAAUUCUUGGAUUUAUGAAAGACGAACUUCUGCGAAAGCAUUUGCCAAGGAUGUUUUCAUUAA
Molecule: ribosomal RNA, 375 nt
Filed under: uncultured eukaryote
Lineage: Eukaryota
Description: partial 18S ribosomal RNA
Rfam family: Eukaryotic small subunit ribosomal RNA
Source: RNAcentral